RNAcentral lists this ribosomal RNA (253 nucleotides) under uncultured bacterium. RNAcentral describes it as "partial 16S ribosomal RNA". It matches the Rfam family "Bacterial small subunit ribosomal RNA", at positions 524 to 776 of the family's 1533-position model. The record is from RNAcentral.
UACGUAGGGGGCAAGCGUUGUCCGGAAUCAUUGGGCGUAAAGAGCGUGUAGGUGGCUCGGUAAGUCCGCUGUGAAAGUCCAGGGCUCAACCCUGGAAAGCCGGUGGAAACUGUCGAGCUCGAGUCCGGAAGAGGCGAGUGGAAUUCCUGGUGUAGCGGUGAAAUGCCCAGAUAUCAGGAGGAACACCAAUGGCGAAGGCAGCUCGCUGGGACGGUACUGACACUGAGACGCGAAAGCGUGGGGAGCAAACAGG